UGGGAUGUGGUCUAACGGCAAGACACCGGACUGUUAAUCCGGAUGAUGGUGGUUCAAAUCCACCCGUCCCAG
RNAcentral lists this transfer RNA (72 nucleotides) under Fidelibacterota bacterium. RNAcentral describes it as "tRNA-Asn". It matches the Rfam family "tRNA". From Rfam's summary of the family: Transfer RNA (tRNA) molecules are approximately 80 nucleotides in length. Their secondary structure includes four short double-helical elements and three loops (D, anti-codon, and T loops). The record is from RNAcentral. Lineage: Bacteria; Pseudomonadati; Fidelibacterota.